GGCUGCGGUGGAAGGACUUGCCUGAAUCGUCUGAACCUCCGUGCAGGCGCGGACCCAGGCUGUGCAAGCCAGAGAGAUGCCAGAGCACCUGCCCGGGAGCCCUGUCCCUCCUCCGACCCCCCACUCUCUCCACCACCACCUGGAGCGAUCCGUGAGGUCCUCCACUGAGGCUAAGAACACCAUGCCUAUCACUAAGAUCCCUAAGGUCACCCAACCCUUGUGGGUUGAGUGGGAUCGGAAGGCCCAGAAGAAUGGCCUGAGACACGAGGUUUAUGCUGUCAAUGGCGACUGCUAUGUUGGGGAAUGGAAGGACAACAAGAAACACGGAAGAGGAAUCCAGAGAUGGAAAAAGAGUGGAGCUAUCUACCAGGGAGAAUGGAAGUUUGGGAAGAGAGAUGGUUAUGGGAUCCUCAGCCUUCCUGAUCCUGUGAAUAAAUAUAAGAAGGUCUACUCUGGCUGGUGGGCAAACGGCAAAAAAGCUGGCUAUGGUAUCCGGUACUAUGGACCCAACGAAUACUAUGAAGGAGAGUGGAAGAAUGGCCUUCGAAGUGGAUGGGGCCGCAUGUACUAUGCCAAUGGGGACAUCUACGAGGGCCAGUGGAGUGAGGGCCUGAGAGAUGGGGAGGGCAUGCUCCGCCUAAGCAACGGAAACCGCUAUGAAGGUUGUUGGCAAUAUGGGAUGAAGAAUGGGACUGGCCGCUUCUUCCAUCUGGACCACGGGCAGCUCUUUGAGGGCUUCUGGGUAGAUGACGUGCCCAAAUGUGGGACCAUGAUCGACUUUGGUCGAGAUGAAGCCCCUGAGCCCACCAAGUAUCCCAUCCCAGAGAUUGAACUGCUGAAUCCAGAUAAGGUGUUGGAGGAAGCUGUUGCCACGUUCAUCCAGGAGGAAGACUGAAACCAUCGGCCAAACAUUCUGCCAAAGGAAUGGGCAGCUGGACCAGAGAGGGUGGUUGGCCUUUUCUCCCUGGCGGCACAGCAUCUGGGGGUCAUCCGCUUCACCUAAGAUGAGGGAACGGCUCAGAGAGGGCACUUCCUUUGCCAAGGUCACACAGCAAGUUAGCGGCAGAGGACAGAACAGGAGCACCAGGCUCUUGGCGCCCGAUCUGGGGACCCUUGUUCACUGACCAUCAAGAGAUCCACUCCUGCCACCCCUUUUCACUCGAAAGUGCUACACAAAGAGUGUUUUGUGGGAUUUUUUCUUUAAUCUGAGUAAAAAUCUGGCCAUCAAAAUUUCCUAAUA
This is an RNA transcript of Trichosurus vulpecula (common brushtail), 1240 nucleotides long. It is a transcript of the gene named MORN repeat containing 3, with no coding region annotated. The record is from RefSeq and is a predicted model, not a curated record. NCBI's taxonomy places the organism in Eukaryota, Metazoa, Chordata, Mammalia, Diprotodontia, Phalangeridae. The transcript is spliced from 8 exons.